CAGGCAUGGGGGGAACCCUGAUCCGCCUGCCGCGUGUGUGAAGAAGGCCUUUUGGUUGUAAAGCACUUUAAGCGAGGAGGAGGCUACUCUAGUUAAUACCUAGAGAUAGUGGACGUUACUCGCAGAAUAAGCACCGGCUAACUCUGUGCCAGCAGCCGCGGUAAUACAGAGGGUGCGAGCGUUAAUCGGAUUUACUGGGCGUAAAGCGUGCGUAGGUGGCCAAUUAAGUCAAAUGUGAAAUCCCCGAGCUUAACUUGGGAAUUGCAUUCGAUACUGGUUGGCUAGAGUAUGGGAGAGGAUGGUAGAAUUCCAGGUGUAGCGGUGAAAUGCGUAGAGAUCUGGAGGAAUACCGAUGGCGAAGGCAGCCAUCUGGCCUAAUACUGACACUGAGGUACGAAAGCAUGGGGAG
RNAcentral lists this ribosomal RNA (409 nucleotides) under uncultured bacterium. Its description in RNAcentral is "bacterial SSU rRNA". It matches the Rfam family "Bacterial small subunit ribosomal RNA", at positions 364 to 768 of the family's 1533-position model. The record is from RNAcentral.